UACGGGGGGAGCAAGCGUUGUUCGGAUUUACUGGGCGUAAAGGGCGCGUAGGCGGUCGUGACAAGUCACUUGUGAAAUCUCCGGGCUUAACUCGGAACGGUCAAGUGAUACUGUCGGACUAGAGUGCAGAAGGGGCAACUGGAAUUCUCGGUGUAGCGGUGAAAUGCGUAGAUAUCGGGAGGAACACCGGUGGCGAAGGCGGUUCUCUGGGCCUUACCUGACGCUGAGGAGCGAAAGCGUGGGGAGCGAACAGG
RNAcentral lists this ribosomal RNA (254 nucleotides) under uncultured bacterium. RNAcentral's name for it is "partial 16S ribosomal RNA". It matches the Rfam family "Bacterial small subunit ribosomal RNA", at positions 524 to 776 of the family's 1533-position model. The record is from RNAcentral.